RNAcentral lists this ribosomal RNA (433 nucleotides) under uncultured bacterium. RNAcentral's name for it is "partial 16S ribosomal RNA". It matches the Rfam family "Bacterial small subunit ribosomal RNA", at positions 29 to 507 of the family's 1533-position model. The record is from RNAcentral.
AACGAACGCUGGCGGCAGGCCUAACACAUGCAAGUCGAGCGAGGACUUCGGUUCUAGCGGCGGACGGGUGGGUAACGCGUGGGAAUGUUCCCUUCUCUACGGAAUAGCCCUGGGAAACUGGGAGUAAUACCGUAUACGCCCUAUUGGGGAAAGAUUUAUCGGAGAAGGAUCAGCCCGCGUUGGAUUAGGUAGUUGGUGGGGUAAUGGCCUACCAAGCCGACGAUCCAUAGCUGGUUUGAGAGGAUGAUCAGCCACACUGGGACUGAGACACGGCCCAGACUCGUACGGGAGGCAGCAGUGGGGAAUCGUAGACAAUGGGGGCAACCCUGAUCUAGCCAUGCAGCGUGAGUGAUGAAGGCCUUAGGGUUGUAAAGCUCUUUCAGCUGGGAAGAUAAUGACGGUACCAGCAGAAGAAGCCCCGGCUAACUCCUUG